This 497-nucleotide ribosomal RNA is filed under the name uncultured bacterium. Its description in RNAcentral is "partial 16S ribosomal RNA". It matches the Rfam family "Bacterial small subunit ribosomal RNA", at positions 28 to 507 of the family's 1533-position model. The record is from RNAcentral.
GAUGAACGCUGGCGGCGUGCCUAAUACAUGCAAGUCGAGCGAACAGACGAGGAGCUUGCUCCUCUGACGUUAGCGGCGGACGGGUGAGUAACACGUGGAUAAUCUACCUAUAAGACUGGGAUAACUUCGGGACACCGGAGCUAAUACCGGAUAAUAUAUUUAACCGUAUGGUUCAAUAGUGAAAGACGGUUUUGCUGUCACUUAUAGAUGGAUCCGCGCCGCAUUAGCUAGUUGGUAAGGUAACGGCUUAACAAGGCAACGAUGCGUAGCCGACCUGAGAGGGUGAUCGGCCACACUGGAACUGAGACACGGUCCAGACUCCUACGGGAGGCAGCAGUAGGGAAUCUUCCGCAAUGGGCGAAAGCCUGACGGAGCAACGCCGCGUGAGUGAUGAAGGUCUUCGGAUCGUAGAACUCUGUUAUGAGGGAAGAACAAAUGUGUAAGUAACUAUGCACGUCUUGACGGUACCUAAUCAGAAAGCCACGGCUAACUACGUG